AAGGUUAUUUCUCAAAUGAAUUGACGGGGGCCCGCACAAGCGGUGGAGCAUGUGGUUUAAUUCGAUGCUACGCGAAGAACCUUACCUGGUCUUGACAUCCACAGAAGAAUCCAGAGAUGGAUUUGUGCCUUCGGGAACUGUGAGACAGGUGCUGCAUGGCUGUCGUCAGCUCGUGUUGUGAAAUGUUGGGUUAAGUCCCGCAACGAGCGCAACCCUUAUCCUUUGUUGCCAGCGGUUAGGCCGGGAACUCAAAGGAGACUGCCAGUGAUAAACUGGAGGAAGGUGGGGAAGACGUCAAGUCUUCAUGGCCCUUACGUCCAGGGCUACACACGUGCUACAAUGGCGCAUACAUAGAGAAGCGACCUCGCGAGAGCAAGCGGAC
This 382-nucleotide ribosomal RNA is filed under the name Salmonella enterica subsp. enterica serovar Enteritidis. RNAcentral describes it as "bacterial SSU rRNA". It matches the Rfam family "Bacterial small subunit ribosomal RNA", at positions 890 to 1272 of the family's 1533-position model. Lineage: Bacteria; Pseudomonadati; Pseudomonadota; Gammaproteobacteria; Enterobacterales; Enterobacteriaceae. The record is from RNAcentral.